UGCUGAGCCAGCCUCUGCACGUGCAGUUGGAACAUCUCUGGAUCUAUGGGCGUGUUGUCCAUCUGGAACUUUCAAGGCCAACCAAGGGGACGAGGCCUGUACCCACUGUCCCAUCAACAGCCGGACCACUUCUGAAGGGGCCACCAACUGUGUCUGCCGCAAUGGCUACUACAGAGCAGACCUGGACCCCCUGGACAUGCCCUGCACAACCAUCCCCUCCGCGCCCCAGGCUGUGAUUUCCAGUGUCAAUGAGACCUCCCUCAUGCUGGAGUGGACCCCUCCGCGCGACUCCGGAGGCCGAGAGGACCUCGUCUACAACAUCAUCUGCAAGAGCUGUGGCUCGGGCCGGGGCGCCUGCACCCGCUGCGGGGACAAUGUACAGUAUGCACCGCGCCAGCUAGGCCUGACCGAGCCACGCAUUUACAUCAGCGACCUGCUGGCCCACACCCAGUACACCUUCGAGAUCCAGGCCGUGAACGGCGUUACUGACCAGAGCCCCUUCUCACCUCAGUUCGCCUCUGUGAACAUCACCACCAACCAGGCAGCUCCGUCGGCAGUGUCCAUCAUGCAUCAGGUGAGCCGCACCGUGGACAGCAUUACCCUGUCGUGGUCCCAGCCGGACCAGCCCAAUGGCGUGAUCCUGGACUAUGAGCUGCAGUACUAUGAGAAGGAGCUCAGUGAGUACAACGCCACAGCCAUAAAAAGCCCCACCAACACGGUCACCGUGCAGGGCCUCAAAGCCGGCGCCAUCUAUGUCUUCCAGGUGCGGGCACGCACCGUGGCAGGCUACGGGCGCUACAGCGGCAAGAUGUACUUCCAGACCAUGACAGAAGCCGAGUACCAGACAAGCAUCCAGGAGAAGUUGCCACUCAUCAUCGGCUCCUCGGCCGCUGGCCUGGUCUUCCUCAUUGCUGUGGUUGUCAUCGCCAUCGUGUGUAACAGACGGGGGUUUGAGCGUGCCGACUCGGAGUAUACGGACAAGCUGCAACACUACACCAGUGGCCACA
Molecule: small RNA, 1007 nt
Filed under: Pongo abelii (Sumatran orangutan)
Lineage: Eukaryota; Metazoa; Chordata; Mammalia; Primates; Hominidae
Description: processed transcript
Source: RNAcentral